GUGCUCGCUUCGGUAGCACAUGUACUAAAAUUGGAACGAUACAGAGAAGAUUAGCAUGGCCCUUGUGCAAGGAUGACACGUAAAUUCGUGAAGCGUUCCAUAUUUAA
Molecule: small nuclear RNA, 107 nt
Filed under: Jaculus jaculus (lesser Egyptian jerboa)
Lineage: Eukaryota; Metazoa; Chordata; Mammalia; Rodentia; Dipodidae
Source: RNAcentral